Molecule: non-coding RNA, 3875 nt
Organism: Podarcis lilfordi (Lilford's wall lizard)
Lineage: Eukaryota; Metazoa; Chordata; Lepidosauria; Squamata; Lacertidae
Source: the annotation of a GenBank genome assembly
GUUUUUCUAACAGAUAAGCCCUAACUUGUUCCAUUAGUAUGAGUUCCACUUGUACAAGGGAACUUCCUCCUCUCUCCUCUCUCCUCUCUCCGCAUGGUGGGAACCAGUUAUAAGUCAAAAGAAACAGUUGAGAAGAGAGUCAGGUGAUCAGAACCCAAGAAGAAGCUAGACCCAGUAAAUGUUAUUGUAGCCCAAAUCAACUCUCAGCCUAGGUGGGUGGAAUCACUCUGGUAAUUGGAAGCCAUCUACAGUCUAGGAGAAAUACUCCAAACUUUAGCUCUGGUGGCUUGCCACAACAGUCAGCUGUGCAUCAGUUUCCACUACUAGCUUCUCACAAAGGGAUAUAAGCGUCAUUCUGGAACAUGUCCCAAUUCUUAUGGUAAAACAUGGGGGUUUCUUGGCUGACAAAUCAAUGUGAAAGAGUUCCCUGAGGAUAAAAAGCAUGAAAAUGAAUAGUCUAGGUCAGGGGGGUCCAAUGCAGCACCCUCCAGACGUUGUUGAACUACAGCUCCCAUCAGCCUCAGCCAGUGUUUUUUUUUGGGGGGGACGCAGGGGUAUGCAUACCCCUAAACAUUUUGUGAAUCUUUGUACUUUUGUUCAUUUACUGUAUUUAUUUUCCCCGAUUUGAACUAUAAAAUGGUGGUUUUCUUGAGUCAAAAUGAGAGUACCCCUAAACAUUUUUUUGGGGGGGGGGGAGUACUGGCCUUGGCCAGUAUGGCCCGUGGUUGGGGGUUAUGGGAGUUAUGGUCCAACACUAUCUGGAGGGCACCUGGCUGACUAUCCUAGUCUAGGUGAUUGACAUAAAAUAUACAUCAGUAGAGAAUCAGGCCGGCACAUCUCUGAUGUAUGAAAUUAAAGCAUUGCCCUAAGUAAUAAUAGAAAGCUUUAAUUAUUGUAAAUUAGUUGUGGCUGUACUACUGUUGUCUGCCUAGAGCUUCGUAGUUGGGGGUAAGCUAGAAGAACUGAAAUGGCCGAAUUAUUCAUUUAUGUUUCAUGCUGUGGAUUAGAAUGUGAUUAGAUUUCUCUCCAAACUAGAGACACUGCUAGUAUUGAGUUGCACCCAGGGGUUCUUGGCUUCAGCAUUUAAUUUGCCAGGCAUCGCUCUGUUGAAUUUCACCACCACCACCCCCCAUUCAGUCAGAUGUGAAAUAGUAUGCCAUAAUCACAAUUCCAUCUUGAGCCAUAGACAGUCUUUUGCAAAUGAAGAAUGCAAGACUGGGUAUAGAUUAUUCACUACACUGCCAAACUGAAGCAAGUCUUGCUUUGAGAGCAAACUUGCUUGCAUUCCCCUAAACACCUUAUUUGCUUUCUAAAGCUCAAGUGUCUAUCCAUUCUUUUAUUUUUUGGAAUGAAGCAGGGGUCUGCAAAAUAAACGUUUUCAUUUUGUAAUUCAUUUAAUUUUGCUUCUUAAAGACUUCAUUCAUUUUGUUAUUAAUUCAUAUCACAUUAGUUUUCAUUCAUAUUUUUAUUUGUUUGGGUUUUUUGCUGCCCCUGGUAACAGUGACAUCAGGAUUUUAGGAGGCAACAGUUGAUUUUCCUGUCAUGACCAGGAUACUGCAUCAUUCUGGGACAUUCUACAGAAAAAAAUGGUGGUUCUUAUUGGUGGCCAUCAUUAUUUUGAGAAUGCCUCAGAAGUAUAUGCCAUGUGGGAAAUUCAGGAAAUUCAGGGGGAGGGAAACAUGACUGGGGCCUCUUAAAAGAGUUAAACCCCAGCAGCCCUAAAGGACUGACAAAAGAGAUAAUGAAAACCAGCAUCUGUACACAUUUGUUACCCAUGGCAUUCUUUUAUAAUAAUGGAAAUUGAACCAAAUUGGGUCCAUUCACUUCCAUGUUUAAUUCAUACCUGGUGGAGGUGUCAGGUAUUGAACCUUGGGGCAUGCUGCAUGCAAAGGAAGUGCUCUAUCACUGAACUAUGACACUCCCUUUACAUUUGUCAUUGCUGAAGUUCAGUUUCUAUCCACUCAGCCCCACAACAGAUCAUUUUAAAUUUUUAGUCUAUACCUGGUACAGCAACAAAAUCCCUUUGAAGACAUUCAGUGUGCUUCUAGCUAUUCAUACCCGAAGGAGUAUACCCUGAAGGAGUGUCUCCACACCCAAAGUUCUGCCCGUACACUGAGAUCCAGCUCCGAGGGCCUUCUGGCAGUUCCCUCCCUGCAAGAAGCGAAGUUACAGGGAACCAGGCAGAGGGCCUUCUUGGUAGUGGCGCCCGCCCUGUGGCCCUCCCAUCAGAUGUCAAAGAAAUAAACAACUGACUUUUAGAAGACAUCUGAAGGAAGCCCUGCUUAGGGAACUUUUUAAUGACUGAUGUUUUAAUGUAUUUUUAAUCUCCUGUUGGAAGCCGCCCAAAGUGGCUGGGGAAACCCAGCCAGAUAGGCGGGGUAUAAGUAAUGUUGUUGUUGUUGUUGUUGUUGUUGUUGUUGUUGUUGUUGUUGUUGUUGUUGUUGUUGUUGUUGUUCUUCUUCUUCUUCUUCUUCUUCUUCUUCUUCUUCUUCUUCUUCUUCUUCUUAAUGGAGGAGGGUUCUCUAUCCCCUGAUGGCAAGUCCUGCCUGCUCCAUACACCUCACGUUUGGACUUCAGUAUGUGCAUUUAUUUCCAUGCAAAAGGUUCAGCCAGUAUGGUGUAGUGGUUAAGAGCGGUUGACUAGUAAUCUGGUGAACCGGGUUUACUUCCCCGUUCCUCCAUACGCAGCUGCUGGGUGACCUUGGGCUAGUCACACUUCUCUGAAGUCUCUCAGGCUCACUCACCUCACAGAGUGUUUGUUGUGGUGGAGGAAGGGAAAGGAGAAUGUUAGCCGCUUUGAGACUCCUUCGGGUAGUGAUAAAGUGUAGCUCUGAAAUGUAGUGGGGUGGCUGCUUGCUUUUUUGUACAAGCACCCCAUCUAAUCUCCACAAUUUCCCCCUAACCUUGUGCUACAUUUCAGAGGUGCUGCACAGAGUCAAGAACCUGCCUCUUAGGGGAACAGGAUUAUGGGGAAAGGAGAUAGAGAUUUUGUUGGCCAGAAAGACAGCUGAAAAUGGUUGGCCUUUGGUGUAGACCCAUGAAUUCAUAGGCAUGUUUUGCACGAGCUGCUCGCUCACUGUGAUCUGAAGCACUUUGGAACUUGCUGGCUAACCCUCAGGCCAUGUUGUCCUGAUAUUACUUGUGUACCUGACAAAUCAUUGAUGCCUCUCCAGAUUCUUUAGGCUCCCUUUGGCAGCUUCCUCUUGUCAUUUAUUUAAGCUGAGGGAAGUGAGCUGACACACGGCUUUGGCUUGGAAAGAUUACAUUAUCCAAGUGUUGUCCUUGGCUGAGAGGCGCAUUCACGAUUUCCUGAUAAAACAGUCAGCAAUCACGAUGCCAGGCCAGUGUUUUGGAAUGCUUGGAGCCUAGAUAAAAGACUAACAACUAAAACAGUGAAGUCAGAGCCCUUGGAAAGGAAGAGCAGAUGGACUAGCUCCCCAGGGAAUAAAUCUCUGAGGAUCCAGGGGCAUCUGUGGAAACUGUUUCUUCUUGUGCUUACCCAACAGAUCAAUGGAGAAGAAAAGCGGGAUAUGUCUGAAGGAUAAUCAUAAGGAAGGGACUUGGCUCUCCUAGAAGUGCCACACCCAGAAGUGUCCCGUCUAAAUCAAUGGCCGACAGACACCUUCCUUCUUUGCAAUAGCUGCUUGCCUUCUCCCCUCCCUCCUGUUUUUAGUGUUGUACUAUCAUUGUUUUAAUUCUGCUUUGAUUGGCUGCCUUGAGCUCUGUCAAGGAAAGGUGGUGCGUAAAUGGCUUGAAUAAAUAAAUAAUGGCAAAUUGGAGCCUGAAAUGAAUCAGCUGAUUUGCAAGGGGCUAGUGGGCGAAGAUUUAUGGCGUUGGGCCUUUUCAUCUCAUCCAACUUGGUGGAGUCCUUUUAG